Molecule: ribosomal RNA, 3087 nt
Filed under: Salmonella enterica subsp. enterica serovar Infantis
Lineage: Bacteria; Pseudomonadati; Pseudomonadota; Gammaproteobacteria; Enterobacterales; Enterobacteriaceae
Description: bacterial LSU rRNA
Rfam family: Bacterial large subunit ribosomal RNA
Source: RNAcentral
UUAAGCGACUAAGCGUACACGGUGGAUGCCCUGGCAGUCAGAGGCGAUGAAGGACGUGCUAAUCUGCGAUAAGCGCCGGUAAGGUGAUAUGAACCGUUAUAACCGGCGAUUUCCGAAUGGGGAAACCCAGUGUGACUCGUCACACUAUCAUUAACUGAAUCCAUAGGUUAAUGAGGCGAACCGGGGGAACUGAAACAUCUAAGUACCCCGAGGAAAAGAAAUCAACCGAGAUUCCCCCAGUAGCGGCGAGCGAACGGGGAGGAGCCCAGAGCCUGAAUCAGCAUGUGUGUUAGUGGAAGCGUCUGGAAAGGCGCGCGAUACAGGGUGACAGCCCCGUACACAAAAGCGCAUGUGCUGUGAGCUCGAUGAGUAGGGCGGGACACGUGGUAUCCUGUCUGAAUAUGGGGGGACCAUCCUCCAAGGCUAAAUACUCCUGACUGACCGAUAGUGAACCAGUACCGUGAGGGAAAGGCGAAAAGAACCCCGGCGAGGGGAGUGAAAAAGAACCUGAAACCGUGUACGUACAAGCAGUGGGAGCCCCACCACCAAAGCAUUCUCUGGUGUUGAAGGCCCUGCAAAGCAGCAUCGCGGUGGCGGAGCGUCGUUUGCGACGCCCAACACACAAAACAAGCGGUGAGUGCUUUGGGGUGGGGUGACUGCGUACCUUUUGUAUAAUGGGUCAGCGACUUAUAUUCUGUAGCAAGGUUAACCGAAUAGGGGAGCCGGAGGGAAACCGAGUCUUAAUUGGGCGUUAAGUUGCAGGGUAUAGACCCGAAACCCGGUGAUCUAGCCAUGGGCAGGUUGAAGGUUGGGUAACACUAACUGGAGGACCGAACCGACUAAUGUUGAAAAAUUAGCGGAUGACCUGUGGCUGGGGGUGAAAGGCCAAUCAAACCGGGAGAUAGCUGGUUCUCCCCGAAAGCUAUUUAGGUAGCGCCUCGUGAAUUCAUCUCCGGGGGUAGAGCACUGUUUCGGCUAGGGGGCCAUCCCGGCUUACCAACCCGAUGCAAACUGCGAAUACCGGAGAAUGUUAUCACGGGAGACACACGGCGGGUGCUAACGUCCGUCGUGAAGAGGGAAACAACCCAGACCGCCAGCUAAGGUCCCAAAGUCAUGGUUAAGUGGGAAACGAUGUGGGAAGGCCCAGACAGCCAGGAUGUUGGCUUAGAAGCAGCCAUCAUUUAAAGAAAGCGUAAUAGCUCACUGGUCGAGUCGGCCUGCGCGGAAGAUGUAACGGGGCUAAACCAUGCACCGAAGCUGCGGCAGCGAACGUAUCACUUAAAGCGAUUCAGCGGGUUACGAUUGACGGAGCGAAGCGACGUCAAAGCGUAUACAAAGUCGAGUCGGUUUAAGGAUACGUUCGUUGGGUAGGGGAGCGUUCUGUAAGCCUGUGAAGGUGUGUCGUGAGGCAUGCUGGAGGUAUCAGAAGUGCGAAUGCUGACAUAAGUAACGAUAAAGCGGGUGAAAAGCCCGCUCGCCGGAAGACCAAGGGUUCCUGUCCAACGUUAAUCGGGGCAGGGUGAGUCGACCCCUAAGGCGAGGCCGAAAGGCGUAGUCGAUGGGAAACGGGUUAAUAUUCCCGUACUUGGUGUUACUGCGAAGGGGGGACGGAGAAGGCUAUGUUGGCCGGGCGACGGUUGUCCCGGUUUAAGCGUGUAGGUGUGUGUUCCAGGUAAAUCCGGUUCACUUUAACACUGAGGCGUGAUGACGAGGCACUACGGUGCUGAAGCAACAAAUGCCCUGCUUCCAGGAAAAGCCUCUAAGCAUCAGGUAACAUCAAAUCGUACCCCAAACCGACACAGGUGGUCAGGUAGAGAAUACCAAGGCGCUUGAGAGAACUCGGGUGAAGGAACUAGGCAAAAUGGUGCCGUAACUUCGGGAGAAGGCACGCUGACAUGUAGGUGAAGUGAUUUACUCAUGGAGCUGAAGUCAGUCGAAGAUACCAGCUGGCUGCAACUGUUUAUUAAAAACACAGCACUGUGCAAACACGAAAGUGGACGUAUACGGUGUGACGCCUGCCCGGUGCCGGAAGGUUAAUUGAUGGGGUCAGCGCAAGCGAAGCUCCUGAUCGAAGCCCCGGUAAACGGCGGCCGUAACUAUAACGGUCCUAAGGUAGCGAAAUUCCUUGUCGGGUAAGUUCCGACCUGCACGAAUGGCGUAAUGAUGGCCAGGCUGUCUCCACCCGAGACUCAGUGAAAUUGAACUCGCUGUGAAGAUGCAGUGUACCCGCGGCAAGACGGAAAGACCCCGUGAACCUUUACUAUAGCUUGACACUGAACAUUGAGCCUUGAUGUGUAGGAUAGGUGGGAGGCUUUGAAGCGUGGACGCCAGUCUGCGUGGAGCCGACCUUGAAAUACCACCCUUUAAUGUUUGAUGUUCUAACGUGGACCCGUAAUCCGGGUUGCGGACAGUGUCUGGUGGGUAGUUUGACUGGGGCGGUCUCCUCCUAAAGAGUAACGGAGGAGCACGAAGGUUGGCUAAUCCUGGUCGGACAUCAGGAGGUUAGUGCAAUGGCAUAAGCCAGCUUGACUGCGAGCGUGACGGCGCGAGCAGGUGCGAAAGCAGGUCAUAGUGAUCCGGUGGUUCUGAAUGGAAGGGCCAUCGCUCAACGGAUAAAAGGUACUCCGGGGAUAACAGGCUGAUACCGCCCAAGAGUUCAUAUCGACGGCGGUGUUUGGCACCUCGAUGUCGGCUCAUCACAUCCUGGGGCUGAAGUAGGUCCCAAGGGUAUGGCUGUUCGCCAUUUAAAGUGGUACGCGAGCUGGGUUUAGAACGUCGUGAGACAGUUCGGUCCCUAUCUGCCGUGGGCGCUGGAGAACUGAGGGGGGCUGCUCCUAGUACGAGAGGACCGGAGUGGACGCAUCACUGGUGUUCGGGUUGUCAUGCCAAUGGCACUGCCCGGUAGCUAAAUGCGGAAGAGAUAAGUGCUGAAAGCAUCUAAGCACGAAACUUGCCCCGAGAUGAGUUCUCCCUGAGACUUUAAGUCUCCUGAAGGAACGUUGAAGACGACGACGUUGAUAGGCCGGGUGUGUAAGCGCAGCGAUGCGUUGAGCUAACCGGUACUAAUGAACCGUGAGGCUUAACCUU